CAUUAAGUGGCCGAAAUUUUAAGCAUUGAUCUCUUAAAUCAAAACAUAAUAUAUUAAUAUUCUUAAUGA
This 69-nucleotide transfer RNA is filed under the name Neodiprion huizeensis. Its description in RNAcentral is "tRNA-Lys". The record is from RNAcentral. Lineage: Eukaryota; Metazoa; Arthropoda; Insecta; Hymenoptera; Diprionidae.